This 253-nucleotide ribosomal RNA is filed under the name uncultured bacterium. RNAcentral's name for it is "partial 16S ribosomal RNA". It matches the Rfam family "Bacterial small subunit ribosomal RNA", at positions 524 to 776 of the family's 1533-position model. The record is from RNAcentral.
GACAGAGGGUGCAAACGUUGUUCGGAAUUACUGGGCGUAAAGCGUGCGCAGGCGGUUGUGUAAGACAGAUGUGAAAUCCCCGGGCUUAACCUGGGAAUGGCAUUUGGGACUGCAAGGCUUGAGUGCGGCAGAGGAGACUGGAAUUCCUGGUGUAGCAGUGAAAUGCGUAGAUAUCAGGAGGAACACCGAUGGCGAAGGCAGGUCUCUGGGCUGACACUGACGCUCAUGCACGAAAGCGUGGGGAGCAAACAGG